AGCUCCAACCAACGCAGACGAUUGAUUGGACCUUUUCGCUGUGUGCCUCAUCUGAGCUCGAGCAGAUAGAUGGCGUAGCGACAUUGCUAACCGAAUCCUGAUGCUUAGCCCUCCCCUCAUUGUUUUACUGAAUAAGAGGAUACAAUACUACAUGUAAUAUUUGCUCACGGGAAACUGAAAGCGAAGAGCAUAGACUCUAACUGAGCUGUUUUGUUGUUGAACGAGGUAUUGUAGGACGGAUAAGCAAAUAUCAAAAGUCGUUGGCUUGGAUUUUGGCUCGUUUUAUGAGCAAGAAGAGAAGAGAGGAGCAGCAAACUUGACUCAGGAAUGACGGACAUUGCUGCAGUGUCUCCACAUUUAUAUAGGUCUGAUUGAGCGGAGCGGUGAGCUACUCAGUGCGUCGACGCUCGAACAGAAUGAUCCAGCAGGGUGACUAAGAGGAGGAAGAAGGGGGGAGAGGAUGGGUGUGAAUGCCUCCAGCUACCCUCACUCGUGCUCCCCUCGAUUCGGGGGUAACCCACAGACCCAGCAGACCUUCAUAGGCGCCUCCUAUGCACCACAGGGUUAUGGUGGUGAGUCCAAGCUCUACAGCCUAGAACCCUGAAAAACCUCAGGACAAGAAGAAAAAGAGCCCCGGUUUGGCCACCCUCAAGAGGAGGUUCAUUAAGCGACUCAAGUCCAGUCUGUCGGCCGAUCAUACGCGGCAGAUGCGCGAACUCCUCUCAGGGUGGGAUGUGCGUGACGUCAACGCCCUGGUGGAGGAGUAUGAGGGCACGGCAGAAUCCAGAGUGUUAACCAGGUCGCACAUACCUGUUCACCUGCCUCGGAUGACGUUAGCUCGCUAAUGAUACGACAACAAAGUUGAAGAAAAAAAGGCCUGUCGAAAAAGCUCCUCUCCAGAAAAGCCGUGCUUUUAGCUUAUUUCAUACCCAUCUCAAGUAAUCCUCUGUAAAUCUCGCUCAAAUGGUAAAAGGAUAAUUUCAUAAAAGCUACGUCUUUUAUAUUGUGGAUGUGCUAGCAAGCAGGAAUAUUCAAACCACGCAAACGCAUUGCACCAACUAAACAGGUUUCCAUGGAGACAGCAUGCCACAGCAGCUCUGAGCGGUUGGAACGUCAGACCGUUGAGUCGAAGUUCAUCAUCGAAAAUGGAUUCAGAACAGCACAACUAUCGAAUGGUUUUGACCAUCGUUUUGUAAUUGAUUACAUUCACUUACAGCAUAAUAUUCUAAAUAUGGCUAAUUCCGGGUAAACCUUCGGCUUAGAAGUUUUACUCAUUGUGUAAACUUGUUAACCAGUGCCUAGCACAGUAAUUCAGGCUAACACAUUUAACACAGUGUGGUAACUUGGGCACUGCAUUUUUUUAACCACACUAAAACAUUGCAAAAGUGAAAACUACAUUAAUACUAUGUCUAAAUGAACCACAUUUACAGAGUAAAAAUGAAAAAGAAAAGUAAAGUUGCCACCCUUUUUCAUUUAUUUAAAGCUGGCAAAUGAAAAUUGCCACAUUUACCUUGUCAACAACUGCAGAUAUUGCAGUCAUUAAAGUCACCAUGAAAGCCCUCAUAAUCUUUAAUUAACUUCCCUCUCUCUUGCAUCAACAUUUCUCUUUACUGGUGCAAGGGUCACUCAAAUGAGAUCACAGCAAUAACAAAUCACAACAAUCCAAUCAAUUCCCAAUGCACAAAAUCAUGUCCUGCCCUAUGUUGUUCUUUUUUCUUGUUCGAGAAGCUGUUUUACUCAUAUUCAUCACAGUAGGGAAGAAAAGACUAUCGCAACUUCCGUUUCAACUGCAGUCUAGUCCAUUUUGCAGUACAGCUGUUAAAACUGCAGGUGUAUUAUAAAAAAUUAAUUGCAGCAUUUGACUGAACUAUAGUUAUAAUGUAUCGAUAUAAACUUGUAUGUCAUUCAACUAUAAAAUGUAGUGUCCUAAACUGCAGUUGCACUACACUGAACUUCUUUGCACUGCAGCGAAUGCAGUUAAAUUAUGGGGAAGUCAUAUCGGAACUGCAACUGUUACACUAUACAAUGGACUUCAAGUACGCUUUAUUGAAAUAGUUGUACUGUAUACAGCAGUACUAAAUCAUUUUAGCAAUUUUUUUUAUUGUGUAUAGCACAGCAUCAUAUUACUACACAAAACUACAACCGUAUGGAUUAAAGUAAUGCAAUGUCAUUGCAAUUCAUUUUUGUAAAGGAUAAAUAUUUUGCUGUCAGGCUCAUCAGACUCAGUAUUUAUGUAUUGCUGUAAAACAGCCAUAAUUGGGCUCUUCCAAGUGAUGAUACAAAUUAAUUGGCACAAGUUCUAAGUGGUAAAGUGUCAGUCUUCAGCAUCCAAAAUUGAGUCAGUGAAAUGUCUACUGAAUUAUCAUUAACUCUGUGUUGUAGAACUCUUGCAAGAGUCUGGAUAUUUCACAGACCUAUUUAUAAGCACAUGUAAAAGAAAUAAAUGUUACUUUGACCUACA
Molecule: long non-coding RNA, 2461 nt
Organism: Megalobrama amblycephala (Wuchang bream)
Lineage: Eukaryota; Metazoa; Chordata; Actinopteri; Cypriniformes; Xenocyprididae
Exons: 3
Source: RefSeq, a predicted model, not a curated record